GAGUUUGAUCCUGGCUCAGAACGAACGCUGGCGGCAGGCCUAACACAUGCAAGUCGAGCGCACCCCUUCGGGGGCGAGCGGCGGACGGGUUAGUAACGCGUGGGAACGUACCCUUGUCUACGGAAUAGCCAUUGGAAACGAUGAGUAAUACCGUAUACGCCCUUCGGGGGAAAGAUUUAUCGGACAAGGAUCGGCCCGCGUUAGAUUAGAUAGUUGGUGGGGUAAUGGCCUACCAAGUCUACGAUCUAUAGCUGGUUUUAGAGGAUGAUCAGCAACACUGGGACUGAGACACGGCCCAGACUCCUACGGGAGGCAGCAGUGGGGAAUCUUAGACAAUGGGCGCAAGCCUGAUCUAGCCAUGCCGCGUGUGUGAUGAAGGCCUUAGGGUCGUAAAGCACUUUCGCUAGGGAUGAUAAUGACAGUACCUAGUAAAGAAACCCCGGCUAACUCCGUGCCAGCAGCCGCGGUAAUA
RNAcentral lists this ribosomal RNA (472 nucleotides) under uncultured bacterium. Its description in RNAcentral is "bacterial SSU rRNA". It matches the Rfam family "Bacterial small subunit ribosomal RNA", at positions 9 to 525 of the family's 1533-position model. The record is from RNAcentral.